AUGGACGGCUACGGGGUCCCUGCUUCGGGACCUAGCACGCUCCGACAGAUUGAUGACGUUCCAUCUGAAUCAGAAGACGAAGAGGGGAUUGGUUUUCCUGCAGGAGGCGCGGUCGCCGAGUCUGAUUCGGACAAGGAAGAUCAGAUCCAGGUCAAUGGAAAAGCACCCUCAAUCGGGUCAAGGUGCAGCGUGAAGAAGUUGCACGACCUGAUUUCCUCAUUUGAUGAGGAGAAACGACAGUAUGUAGCCGAGAUGGAGUUUGGGGGGCUGCUAGAGCUACCAAAGAUAACAAGGACGGAUAGGCAUUUCUUGAUGUCUAUCCUAAGCCACAUCGAUGGGGAGGCAAGUUCAAUUACAAUUGAUCACAAACGCGACAUGCAAUUUUUCGAUGAAGAUGUCAAACUGGUCAUCGGCAUACCAUGUGGAACUGCUCCUGUUCGCCCUCCAGACCACGCUGUUCCGGAGGCAGUGGUGACACAGAUAAGAGAGAUGUUUGGAAUUGGUCCAGGAGAGCACAGCAUACUGCCAAUCGUUGAAGCUGUGAAGCAGACAUACGGGCGUCCUAUGACGACACACGAGAAGAACAGGUUCAAAGUGGGGCUGGUCAUAUGCGCAUGCACAUACCUCCUCGCUCCAACAAUGAAGAACGACUACUUCUGUACUGAUUAUUGGGGCGCGCUGGCAACGGCAGAGCUCAUACAUAUGCACAACUGGUGCCGAUAUACAAGGGAAGAGCUGUUAGUUGCGGCGAAGAGGGUGAAGGCAGACCUUCUAGGAGGGCGUCUGAAGUCUAAUCUAUCAGGUUGCCUCCCAUUUGUACUGGUGUUCUAUAUUGACAAUCUUGACGUUGGAGAGCAGAACAUCGACCACACCGCGCGCCCAAGAGUGAAGGCGUACAGCUACGCAGCUAUCAGAUCAAUAAUUGAAAAGGACAUCAAGUCGCGCAAGGGAGAUUACCCAGUCAUCUAUGGCAGACUCCUGCCAAGACCAGCAGCAGAUGUCUGUUAUCACAGAAACCCUAUAACAAGGCAACGGGCAGCAAGCACAUCAGCCGGUCGUGACUCUCGAAGCUCUGUUCCAUCAAAUCGUGGUUCGUUAGACAUUAAGGAGGCUUCUUACCUCGUCUUAGACAAAAUAUCAAAGUUCACAGCCCGUUGUGAGGAGGUUCUAAUUUCCACUGCAAGGAAGAAAGAAGAGGAGAACCACCGUCAUUUCAGUGCACUAAAUACCUUGGAAAACUCUGCCCAACAAAAAAUAAAGAAGGAGGCCAAAAGAAUGAGGGAUGAAUUCUUUUCGUUCUUCAAAAACUUCGAGAGGCAACAUGCUGCGAUAAGGAUGCGAAGGGGUGCAUCAGGUGUCGAUGUUGAUUCUGGUAAUUGCCGCAACGCAUCCCCAAUACCAGAUCUCGCUGUGUCAACGCCUUGCAAUGCCAAACCAACACCUCCAGCGAGCGGCGGGUGUCAGGGCAACACAAACUCAUCACCGGACGUUGUCGAGGUGACUCCUAGGCGGUUCAAAAGGAUAGCAAAGAAACCGAAGAAGGUAACAUUUGAGUGCGGGCCAUCAGGCGUCAUGGACAUCACAGACAGCGAAGAUAAUGUGAAUGAUUGUUUAUCACACCCUACAGCAAUACGUUCAACUUCUGCCCUGGAAGAUGGCAACCCGGAAGACAGCUCGCCUGUCGUCAACAUCGCACUAGACAGCUUGAUAAGAGAAGCAGAGAGGUACAGCAGGUCAGGCAAGCAGAUUGUUGACGGUUCCACUGCAACCAGGGAUUCCAUCCUGGAACUUGCAAGUAGAGGUCAAUCAUCUGGCGCAAAAGAUGUCAAGGAUGGUGCAGCAACAUACUCUGUUUGUUGUGCUCAAGACCCCAACUUCGACAACAGGCGUCAAUGGAACUACCCGUCUGGACACCCACUUAUCGAGGAGACGCCGUCAUUUGACCUGGGCGUCUUCACACCUCCUUGCAAUAAAGCAAAAGAACCUACCUCGUUGAGCAUUGGUUCCAUAAAGGGCAUCACGCGGAAAGACCUGUUCGGCGCUGGUGAAUUCUCCACUAAAACUCCUGGGUCUGCAGACCAGGUGACACCAUCAACCCCCUUUCACAUAGGGAGCGCAACUAUACAUCCCACACAAGAACACCGUGUGGUGGCACACGUGUCACCGAUGGGGGAUGAGAUCGACCAAUCUAGGAUGAUUCUUUUUUAUGAAGUAUUGGGAUUAGCCAGCAAUAUCGGGCAGCUCCCAACAAAAUUCAAGAUUUGCCAGAAUGUUUGCUGA
RNAcentral lists this ribosomal RNA (2280 nucleotides) under Triticum aestivum (bread wheat). RNAcentral's name for it is "partial small subunit ribosomal RNA". Lineage: Eukaryota; Viridiplantae; Streptophyta; Magnoliopsida; Poales; Poaceae. The record is from RNAcentral.